RNAcentral lists this ribosomal RNA (429 nucleotides) under Chloroflexota bacterium. Its description in RNAcentral is "Chloroflexi bacterium partial 16S ribosomal RNA". It matches the Rfam family "Bacterial small subunit ribosomal RNA", at positions 355 to 776 of the family's 1533-position model. The record is from RNAcentral. Lineage: Bacteria; Bacillati; Chloroflexota.
UGGGGAAUAUUGCACAAUGGGCGCAAGCCUGAUGCAGCCAUGCCGCGUGUAUGAAGAAGGCCUUCGGGUUGUAAAGUACUUUCAGUCGGGAGGAAGGUGUCAAGGUUAAUAACCUUGGCAAUUGACGUUACCGACAGAAGAAGCACCGGCUAACUCCGUGCCAGCAGCCGCGGUAAUACGGAGGGUGCAAGCGUUAUUCGGAAUUACUGGGCGUAAAGCGCACGCAGGCGGUUGAUUGAGUCAGAUGUGAAAUCCCCGGGCUUAACCCGGGGGUUGCAUCUGCUACUGGUCAGGUAGAGUCGUGUAGAGGGGGGUAGAAUUCCAUGUGUAGCGGUGAAAUGCGUAGAGAUGUGGAGGAAUACCGGUGGCGAAGGCGCCCCCCUGGACAAAGACUGACGCUCAGGUGCGAAAGCGUGGGGAGCAAACAGG